GUGAGGAAUAUUGCGCAAUGGAGGCAACUCUGACGCAGCCAUGCCGCGUGCAGGAAGAAGGCGCUACGCGUUGUAAACUGCUUUUAACCGGGAAGAAACCCCAGGACGUGUCCUGGGUUGACGGUACCGGAGGAAUAAGCACCGGCUAACUUCGUGCCAGCAGCCGCGGUAAUACGAAGGGUGCAAGCGUUAUCCGGAUUCAUUGGGUUUAAAGGGUGCGUAGGCGGAGCGUUAAGUCAGUGGUGAAAUCCUGCAGCUUAACUGUAGACUUGCCAUUGAUACUGGCGCUCUUGAGUGCGCUUGAAGUGGACGGAAUGUGCCGUGUAGCGGUGAAAUGCUUAGAUAUGGCACAGAACACCAAUUGCGAAGGCAGCUCACUAAGGCGAUACUGACGCUGAGGCACGAAAGCGUGGGGAUCGAACAGGAUUAGAAACCCGGGUAGUCC
This 445-nucleotide ribosomal RNA is filed under the name uncultured bacterium. RNAcentral's name for it is "partial 16S ribosomal RNA". It matches the Rfam family "Bacterial small subunit ribosomal RNA", at positions 354 to 796 of the family's 1533-position model. The record is from RNAcentral.